Long non-coding RNA from Perca fluviatilis (European perch), 2003 nucleotides. RefSeq lists it as uncharacterized. The transcript is spliced from 3 exons. The record is from RefSeq and is a predicted model, not a curated record. NCBI's taxonomy places the organism in Eukaryota, Metazoa, Chordata, Actinopteri, Perciformes, Percidae.
UGCCCUGACGACUGGUUUGGUCUGCAAAGCUGCUCUUUAGCUCACUCUGCUGUAACACAUCUGUGAACUUUAGCUGCUCAUUAAUGUAUACAUAUCAUAAUAAAGCUCGCCUAUUAACAGUCCUAAUGUCGCUUCGUUUGGCGCUAUCAGUUGUUUCCCCGACUUCCAUACUAUAAGCUGUGGCCUGAAUGCUCGCUUAAAGCCACCAAGCUAAUGUUUUCUGUCCUGCUUGGAGCCACUCACUGCAACCCUUCCCGGAGACACUUCACCGAUUGGCAACAUGCUCCAUCCACGCUCCUCUUCCUCCCAAACCUCCCCCCCACCCUUCGUCCAUGAGGCAUCUCACGAGUGGCAACGACGAACCCCACCUGGCAUACUGGUGACGGCGCCAUCUGGUCGCGGCCAAGGCUCGCCAUCGGGCCCGCAGUCAGUACCCACAGUGCCAGUGUGGUGUUGUUUAAUGAGCGCAUAUGAGCAAACAUUUGACUGCCAGGUGGCGUUGCCGCCACACCAUGCCGACCAGGCAGGGUUCUGCCAUUGCCGUUCAAACCCGAGGGCAUCAAAGGGGGGCCUUGGAUUUCCAAAACUCUGCACACAGCCUCCGCUGAUCUGACGAUGGAUUUUUGGCUCUUGGUACACCUGCCCAAGAUGUUUACUCUGGAUUGACACUUAGCCUGCUGGGAGGAUAGGGUUGUAGAGACAGACUUGAGUCUGUUCCACAUUCCCUCAUCUUAACAACCUGUUCACGGAAUAUAUCAAAUAAGUGGACCGUCCAUAAUACGAUAAACAUACUUAUAUUAUCAGUGUUGGUAUAUAAAUUUCAAAUAUUAUAAACCAAAGUGUUUCUGUGCUAUAAAUGAUUGCCAUAACAAAUGAUUUAAAAUGCACAUAUUACAUAUGGAGGACACAUGUGUAUUCCUCCACAGACACAUAUGACCAAAUGUGCCCAUGCACUUUCAUAGACUCAAACACACACACACACACACACACACACACACACACACACACACACACACACACACACACACACACACACACACACACACACACACACACACACACACACACAGGUGGGACAUCUCAUCUUAGUCAUUCUUGUAGAUGGCAGACUUUCAUAGAAUCCAUCUGCAAAUUCAUCCAGCCACACUGGAAAAACGUCACUACUUCUGCAUAUGACUGUGGAUGUAGUAUGCCAGUAUGCACAUUUCUAAUGUGUUAAAGAUCAAAUUUGGAUCCAGGAAAAGAUAUAUUAUAAUCAGACUGAACAGACCAAACACAAAUGAAAACUUUAAUUUCAGUGGAAUCAAGUUACAUUGUGUCUUUUGGUUUUAGUUGUCAAGACUGAUUUGAAGACGGUCUCUUAACUCCCAUUUCCCCAAACUGGAUCCCCACUGGGUCCAAAUGGGACUGUUGUGUAGCUACCUUGACCUCUGCUCUGUCUGUAGAAACUGCCUGGUGACAAUAUUGACACUGUCCAAAUGCAUAACUACGUUUUAUAUGAGGACAGUAUAUGUUCACAUUAAAAUAUAACAAAAUGCAUACAGAUUAAUGACUUGAUUUUUGCAUUUGGUAUAGAUAGACAUUGUUGACAGUGCACAAGGAUAUUAGGAGACUAACACAGUUACAAAUCAAUGCAAAUUCAGAAUUGUUUUUGUUUUGUUUUUCAAAAUUGCAACUGUGUAAAAAUUGUGCAGAAAUGUAGCCUACACUUAUUUAUUACUGCCAAAUUAAUAAUAAUAAAUAUUUAACGGUGCACAGCACUUGUAGCAUAAAAUAUGGCAUUGAUCAAGAUAGACUGUUUCGUCUAUAAAUUACUCACGCUGAUAAAGUAUCACAACAGAAUUUUUUCCCCUUUUGUUUGUGGUGUUGUUCCUCAUAUCAAUACAUAUUGUGUCACGCAUUGCCUGAUUAGGGUGGGUUUUUGCUGAUUAAUUCAUCCUUUCAAUACGCUGAUUUAUCCUAGAGAAUAUGUAUACAAUGGGUCAUCCUGCUUCAAGAGAUGC